Myodes glareolus (Bank vole) is the source of this 2368-nucleotide long non-coding RNA. RefSeq lists it as uncharacterized. The record is from RefSeq and is a predicted model, not a curated record. Lineage: Eukaryota; Metazoa; Chordata; Mammalia; Rodentia; Cricetidae.
UAUCACACUACUGAGAGAAAUGGUUUAGCUUGAAAACAAUGCUCAAAACAUAACCAGAAACAGUCCCUUUCCCUUUCCUCAGAGGGUAAGGAUGAAAUGAUCUCCCAGGUCAAACCAUCCUGUGGAAGGCAAAUGACAAAGUUGCAUGUUAGGACAAAGCAAAACUAAGACCGGAGGAGGGGUGCCAUCUUACUUCUCAUUUCUGUCGUAUUUAAGACACAAAACCAAAACUGUGCACUGAGGAGAAAAAGCGCAACUCACAGACGGGAAAAUACAUUGUUUCCACUUGAAGUCUGCAGGUCCAGAUCUGUUUAUCUCAACCUUGGUUGUCCUCUAUGCUUGCAUAAAAACUGGACUGGUAUUUUCAGACUAGUAUUCACAGUUGUGGAGGGAAAUGCACACAGAACCAUUUCCGCUGAGGGCACAGACUGUGGAAGAGUCGUAAGUUUUAGAACUGAAGACAAAAUCUUUCUGUUUCUUCUUCGCACACUGAAAGAGUUGAAGGCACUGUCAUUUCCCUCCACGGGUGCAUUGUGGUGGAUCUAGAGCGCCAUCUUACAGCGAGUGGCCGAGCUUGCUCUCCCAGUUUGUCUCAGAACUUCCAAAGGGCUGAGCUCAUUCCUUCUGUCUGAGAUUUCCAAGGCUUUGAUGAGAGAUGGCAAGACAAGAAUCUCUUGCCUUUGCUGGUACAAAGAUAAGCCUGUCCACACCCUGGCAACCCUCCUUCCUGAAGUCUUGGUUCACUGGUGACAAAACUUCCCUUUACGGUUUGCAGUGAUCUGAGUUUUCCAAAGCAAAGGGAAUGCAAAAGCAACAAGAAAGGGAAAGGUUUACAAAUGCCGUCAUUGAGAAAAACUGCUGAUUGAACAUUGAAAAACCAACAGAGUCCUGUACUUAGCACAUGAAGUCUACCCAGGAAAGUGCCAGAUCAAAGUGGAAUAAUGGAGAAUCUUGUCCAGCACAGAGCAGAACUCAUGCCCUACACACAGCACACACAACAAAGAGGAUAUGGAGAGCAGAAAGCCAAACAUUUCUCUAAAAUCCAGGACAAUGAGUUUGGUGUCCUGCUGCGAAGAAUUCUAGUUUGGUCUUAGUGCUAAAGUUUGCUGACCUGGGGUCCUCAGAAGUGGAAGCAGACAGAAUAUCUGCCUUUCCGUGACCAUCGCUGGAGACUCCCAACCUCACUUCAAAAGCAUGACUUUGGCUCCACUCCAGAUGCAGGAUCAAAUCAUGAUGACAGUUAGUGGAGGAAAAAGAAAGACGUUUCCCUUUGUGUACAUAAUCAACGCUGCUGGCGAUCCUGUUAUGGAGCUACCAUAAUCACCUUCCUGAGUUCUAAAUAUGACCUCUUCUCAUGCCCCUUUUGAAGGUUCCAUUCUGUCUGAGAUAUCAUUUCACUCACAAUGCAUUUGAAAACUCCAGAUCCAGCACCAACUUUCUCAUCUUCCUCCUGCUAACCCUCUGAGCCAGUGGUUCAUUCAUCUGUUCCCACAGUGGAUUUCCUGUUAGUGCAAGUGUCCCUAUCUGUGUGUGAGGCCACUACACUUGUGAUCUGAAUCCUAUGAAUCUCCCCCCUCUGAAGAAUUCUUUUUCUAUGAAAUUGCCUCUCUCUACUCUUUAUGUCAAAUAGGAUCUUGAAUUUCAACUAGCUUAUGAAUAUGAUUUAAGAUUUCCCUUUCCUGUGAUAGUCAUAACCAGGUCCACCCAGGUGUACCUGAUACAUGUUCCCCUCACAUGGCAACACUGUUUCUCUGAUAGUUUUGUAUUUUCCUGGUGAUCCGUGACUGCUGUUCCCCCUUCCAUGUUCUCUUGUUGAGGGUAUACGGUUCUGAGUCACACACAGGCUGUGUUUUACUUGAGAACUCAGCAGCAGUCAAGACAGCCAACACACCCUGCCCUGUUUGGUAAAACUCAGUAAAUAGCUAUUGAUUACCAAUUAGGAGCUUAUGGAUCUUCUGGGUGCUUAAUUCAGUUAAUACGCGGCUUUGCUGAACUAGGCUGGGCUAGUUCUAGAAUGACCUAGGAUAAACUAAGGCUUUGGCUUUGCAUAUUCAACCAACAGUCGUCUACUACUUAUUUCUCAUUAGAGAGCUGUAGCGGUGGCUAACCAAUGACAGGUUUUAGCUCUUACCUUUAUUGGAGGUGCACUCUCACUAUGUAGUCCAAGCCUACUCCCCAGUCCUCCCCGGUUCUGACAUUCCAUACAGGAAUCACCAUCUGCCUAAUUCUUGGCUUUGUGUGUAUUUGUUAAUACGGAGGAAAAUAUUGUGAUCUUUCUAUUUAUCUCCAGCUUGGCAAAUAGCUGAGUUUUGUUUUCAGGUGGACUAAAGAUGGGUAAGAGCUCAGGAGGGCCCACUUCCAUUUUGUA